Molecule: ribosomal RNA, 576 nt
Filed under: Triticum aestivum (bread wheat)
Lineage: Eukaryota; Viridiplantae; Streptophyta; Magnoliopsida; Poales; Poaceae
Description: partial small subunit ribosomal RNA
Source: RNAcentral
AUUGUGAAUGAACGGACGAAGCUUCUAGUUCAGGAAGCUACGCUGAUAUCUAUGGUUCAGGCCUGGAUCCUAUUGGUCCAUAAGAGAGUUGUUCGUCAGAAUGACAAACCUCUUAUCCGGUAUGGUCCGAUGUUAAUCCGGGAUCAGGAGAGGAUAGCGAAUCUGAACUACAUCUACAACUUCAACGGUACAAAGGCUCUGUGGAUGCUUCGAAUGAAAAGAGCACCUUUCGCCAGGCUUGUGCAGACGUUCAGGGGUAGGGGGCUGCUAGAAGAUAGCAUCCACAUCACUGUGGAAGAGCAAGUAGCCAUGUUCCUCCAUGUUGUUGGUCAUAACCAGAGGUUCAGGGUUGUACACAACACCUUCAAGAGAUCCAUGAAGACCAUCUCCAGGUACUUCAAGCAAGUGAUGUAUGCUGUUGGGGAGCUCAGAGGAGAGAUGAUCAGGUCACCAACCGGCCGAACUCCUACCAAGAUUCACACUAGUAUCCAUACUUCAAGGUCAGCACUGACAAUAUGUAGUUCAUGCCUUGGUAUGUUGUUAUUGUUUUGUCGUGGCCAUAACAACAUCUUGUAA